RNAcentral lists this ribosomal RNA (918 nucleotides) under uncultured bacterium. RNAcentral's name for it is "bacterial SSU rRNA". It matches the Rfam family "Bacterial small subunit ribosomal RNA", at positions 33 to 925 of the family's 1533-position model. The record is from RNAcentral.
AUGCUGGCGGCGUGCCUAACACAUGCAAGUCGAGCGGCAGCGAGUUUUACACUGAAUUCUGGAAGCUUCUGGGUAAUAUAGAAGAUUUAUUCAAGAAUUUUGUGUAAAAUGUCGGCGAGCGGCGGACGGCUGAGUAACGCGUAGGAAUUUACCUCAAAGUGAGGAAUAACUGCCCGAAAGGGUAGCUAAUGCCGCAUAUGGUCUUCGGAUUAAAGCCUUCGGGCGCUUUGGGAGAAGCCUGCGUUGGAUUAGGUAGUUGGUAGGGUAAUGGCCUACCAAGCCGACGAUCCAUAGCUGGUCUGAGAGGAUGAUCAGCCAGACUGGAACUGAGACACGGUCCAGACUCCUACGGGAGGCAGCAGUGAGGAAUCUUCCACAAUGGGCGAAAGCCUGAUGGAGCAACGCCGCGUGAAGGAUGAAGGCCUUCGGGUUGUAAACUUCUUUUAUGAGUGAAGAAUAUGACGGUAACUCAUGAAUAAGCACCGGCUAACUACGUGCCAGCAGCCGCGGUCAUACGUAGGGUGCGAGUAUUAUCCGGAGUGACUGGGCGUAAAGAGUUGCGUAGGCGGUUUAAUAAGUGAAUAGUGAAACCUGGUGGCUCAACCAUACAGACUAUUAUUCAAACUGUUAAACUCGAGAAUGGUAGAGGUAACUGGAAUUUCUAGUGUAGGAGUGAAAUCCGUAGAUAUUAGAAGGAACACCGAUGGCGUAGGCAGGUUACUGGGCCAUUUCUGACGCUAAGGCACGAAAGCGUGGGGAGCGAACCGGAUUAGAUACCCGGGUAGUCCACGCCGUAAACGAUGGAUACUAGCUGUUGGAGGUAUCGACCCCUUCAGUAGCGAAGCUAACGCGUUAAGUAUCCCGCCUGUGGAGUACGGCCGCAAGGCUAAAACAUAAAGGAAUUGACGGGGACCCGCA